Magnolia sinica is the source of this 773-nucleotide long non-coding RNA. RefSeq lists it as uncharacterized. The record is from RefSeq and is a predicted model, not a curated record. The transcript has 3 exons. NCBI's taxonomy places the organism in Eukaryota, Viridiplantae, Streptophyta, Magnoliopsida, Magnoliales, Magnoliaceae.
UCUCUUGAUCUCCCUCUCCAUUGAUCUCUCUCUCCCGAUCUCAACCCUCCCCCCUCUCUCGAUACGAACGGUUCUGAUCAUUGAACCAUUCUGCAUGUGGGCCCAGUGACGGUGACAUACACAUCAGUCGUGACGAGGGUUUUAUGUUAUUCUAGGGCAGAAGGGGCUGAGAUGCAAUUGGGGAGAGCUGUUAUAUGCCGUAGUUCUGAAUAUGCCUGCAGGUUCUCUGCAGGUUGCCAGCUCAAUCUCAGCCCUACAUCAAAUGAUGGUCUCAUAGUACGGUUCUGAUCAUCCGUUUAGUGGCUGUUUGCUGUCAGUGCAUGGUUUGGACGAUGGGAAGUCCACGUAUGAAAUUACAGAAGUGCCAUUUAAAUUGGGUUUUGUUUGGGAGAAGUCCAGGAUUGCAGAGCAUUAUAAUGCUCUGUUCUACUAGAUGCUUUAGGAUAUGUGGACAGUCAAAUCAGUCAAUUUGUACCGUCCAUUUAGCAGAUCCCAUGACGUAUUGGUCACAUCGCGAAAAUCUUAGGGAUCGGAUGAUUCUAACCAUCUAAUCAUGGCCUAUGAAAGAUGGACGGUUAAUAUUGUUUAUGGUUGUAACAAUAUUAGGGCGUUACAAUCACGGAUUGGUUGUAACAGUUCUAAGAAUCACUUUGAUUAGAUGAUCCUAACCAUCUCAUCCAUGGCUUGGGGGAAUACAUGGCUAUAGGAAAGGUUGAUGUUUGGUGGGCAGCUGAUCAAAAAACUUAUGCCAAUCUACCAUUUAAAAGCCGUCU